GCGCCGUCCCGGCCGGCCCGUGCUCCGAGCCUCCCUCCUGGAUUCCAGAAGGAUGCCGGGUUCCGCUCCUCACCCACGCCUCGGCCCCGCCCAGGACCGACCUGCUGGGCAGGGCUCCGCCUCCCUCCUUGGUACAGUGUCCUGGCCUCUGUCGGGAAUUUGUCCAGCAGCCCCAUCGUCAUCGCCAUCACCCUGCUUCAGGGUGCAGUCUCCAGGUACUUGGACUUCCAGAGACAUGUCUUAACAAGACAGAGACCUCAUCACCUUUUGUUACCUAGCCUCAGAAGGCAUGAAGAAUCACAUCUGCUGCACUGCUGGUUUACAAGUAAGACCCAAGACUUCCCAGAUUGAAAGAAAGGGGCAUUAGAUACCAGCUUUUGCUGGGAAUGAGGCAAAACCUAGAACAUGCAGCUAGCUGUCUUUGUAAAAUAUCAUCUCCACAAUCUUCCCCCACUGGAAUAUCAUCUCCAUGAAGCACCAUCAUAUUCCCUUUGCCUAAAAUGCUGCCAAAGCACAUUGUGAGUAUUUAAUUUUAGAGUGAAUAAAGGUUUGUCUUUCAAGGAA
This is a long non-coding RNA of Marmota flaviventris (yellow-bellied marmot), 564 nucleotides long. RefSeq lists it as uncharacterized. Lineage: Eukaryota; Metazoa; Chordata; Mammalia; Rodentia; Sciuridae. The record is from RefSeq and is a predicted model, not a curated record.